AUUGAACGCUGGCGGCAGGCCUAACACAUGCAAGUCGAACGGUAGCACAGAGAGCUUGCUCUCGGGUGACGAGUGGCGGACGGGUGAGUAAUGUCUGGGAAACUGCCCGAUGGAGGGGGAUAACUACUGGAAACGGUAGCUAAUACCGCAUAAUGUCGCAAGACCAAAGAGGGGGACCUUCGGGCCUCUUGCCAUCGGAUGUGCCCAGAUGGGAUUAGCUAGUUGGUGAGGUAAUGGCUCACCAAGGCGACGAUCCCUAGCUGGUCUGAGAGGAUGACCAGCCACACUGGAACUGGGACACGGUCCAGACUCCUACGGGAGGCAGCAGUGGGGAAUAUUGCACAAUGGGCGCAAGCCUGAUGCAGCCAUGCCGCGUGUAUGAAGAAGGCCUUCGGGUUGUAAAGUACUUUCAGCGGGGAGGAAGGCAAUGCGGUUAAUAACCGUGUUGAUUGACGUUACCCGCAGAAGAAGCACCGGCUAACUCCGUG
This 488-nucleotide ribosomal RNA is filed under the name uncultured bacterium. Its description in RNAcentral is "partial 16S ribosomal RNA". It matches the Rfam family "Bacterial small subunit ribosomal RNA", at positions 30 to 507 of the family's 1533-position model. The record is from RNAcentral.